CUUUCAUUCAGACGGAUGGCUUAAGAGCUAGAUUUCCUGGUAAAUUCAUCCACUUUAUUUUGCAACUUACUUGGGGGAGCACUUAGGGUAUCAUCCACAUACCUCCAAAGUUCCUCGACCCCUGUAACGUUUAAAUCAUUCACCAUUAUCUCGAAGAGCCAGGGCCCCAAUUUGCAUGGUUCAUUGUAGAGCGCCUGCUGAUACAUCCCUCCAUUCUGAGUACCAGUCAUUACUUAGUUUAACUCACUGCUUACGAUUCAGCAAAAAAUCCAACAUACAAUAGGUCUUGGCAGAUUUUAACUGGACAGUUUAACAUAUCUUUCUACCACAAAAUCUUCUGCAAAUCAUAGACUAUAAUAUGAUCGAGUUAGUGAAUUUGGGCGAAGAUUUUUAUUAACGUGAAGACUAUUGGUUUUUGCUUUGAUACUGGCACUAUGUUCCGUCGCUUCCUUCCACGACGGGGGAGACAGCUUGUGUGGUAAGAGGAGUUCAAAAUGUCGGUAACUACAUUGAUACGCAAGCAAAUCUGCAUUUUCUUUUAAUAGCCAGCCGCCAGCCCGGUAUACUGUCCGGCCGACCUUGUACUUUUUGUGGGUUGAGGUUUACAAGUUUCAUUCUCACUUCUUCCGUCGACACGCUAAGUAGUUCAUUGGACCGGUUCUCAGUGAAGUUGUUCACUAAUUUAUCAGUGAAGUCUCGAGACAGAGGAGCAAAAUUGCUCAUACGGGUGCAGAGAAAGGUGUCAUUGAUCUUAUUGACCAGAUCCUUUGUUGUCUUACCAGAUGACUCUUCCAUAUCACAGAAUAAGGUACACAGAAGGCCGACUUCUUCGUUUUUCCUAUGAUUUUCCUAUGAUUUUGGCGUAACUCGUGAUUCGUCAUCAAAUGCUGACGCCAUGGUCCUAGCCAGUGCGCGUUUGAGAGGCAUUCACCCCCCUGAUAUUAUUCAAAA
Paramuricea clavata is the source of this 951-nucleotide non-coding RNA. Lineage: Eukaryota; Metazoa; Cnidaria; Anthozoa; Malacalcyonacea; Plexauridae. The record is from the annotation of a GenBank genome assembly.